AUACGUAGGGUGCAAGCGUUAAUCGGAAUUACUGGGCGUAAAGCGUGCGCAGGCGGUUUUGUAAGACAGAGGUGAAAUCCCCGGGCUCAACCUGGGAACUGCCUUUGUGACUGCAAGGCUAGAGUACGGCAGAGGGGGAUGGAAUUCCGCGUGUAGCAGUGAAAUGCGUAGAUAUGCGGAGGAACACCGAUGGCGAAGGCAAUCCCCUGGGCCUGUACUGACGCUCAUGCACGAAAGCGUGGGGAGCAAACAGGAUUAGAUACCCUGGUAGUCCACGCCCUAAACGAUGUCAACUGGUUGUUGGGUCUUCAUUGACUCAGUAACGAAGCUAACGCGUGAAGUUGUCCGCCUGGGGAGUACGGCCGCAAGGUUGAAACUCAAAUGAAUUGACGGG
RNAcentral lists this ribosomal RNA (394 nucleotides) under uncultured bacterium. RNAcentral's name for it is "partial 16S ribosomal RNA". It matches the Rfam family "Bacterial small subunit ribosomal RNA", at positions 523 to 917 of the family's 1533-position model. The record is from RNAcentral.